AUUGAACGCUGGCGGCAGGCCUAACACAUGCAAGUCGAACGGCAGCGGGGAGUAGCUUGCUACUCUGCCGGCGAGUGGCGGACGGGUGAGUAAUGCCUGGGGAGCUGCCCAAUCGAGGGGGAUACCAGUUGGAAACGACUGCUAAUACCGCAUACGCCCUGAGGGGGAAAGGUGGGGAUUUUCGGACCUAUCGCGAUUGGAUGCACCCAGGUGGGAUUAGCUAGUUGGUGAGGUAACGGCUCACCAAGGCGACGAUCUCUAGCUGGUUUGAGAGGAUGACCAGCCACACUGGAACUGAGACACGGUCCAGACUCCUACGGGAGGCAGCAGUGGGGAAUAUUGCACAAUGGGGGAAACCCUGAUGCAGCCAUGCCGCGUGUGUGAAGAAGGCCUUCGGGUUGUAAAGCACUUUCAGUCAGGAGGAAAGGUGGCUAGCUAAUAUCUAGUUGCUGUGACGUUACUGACAGAAGAAGCACCGGCUAACUCCGUG
This 490-nucleotide ribosomal RNA is filed under the name uncultured bacterium. Its description in RNAcentral is "bacterial SSU rRNA". It matches the Rfam family "Bacterial small subunit ribosomal RNA", at positions 30 to 507 of the family's 1533-position model. The record is from RNAcentral.